This 433-nucleotide ribosomal RNA is filed under the name uncultured bacterium. Its description in RNAcentral is "partial 16S ribosomal RNA". It matches the Rfam family "Bacterial small subunit ribosomal RNA", at positions 29 to 507 of the family's 1533-position model. The record is from RNAcentral.
AAUGAACGCUGGCGGCAUGCCUAAUACAUGCAAGUCGAACGAACCCUCCAGGUCCUUUCUCCUCCGACUUUGUAGCCGGACGGAUCCUUACCACAGGUUUGGCCUAACUCUCAGACUGGGGUACCUACACGGGACCAUGGCUACGAACGAAUGAUAUAUCGCACUUGGUUGUUCCCGCGUGGAAUUAGGUUUUUCUUAGGGUAAAAGCCUACUACGGCGACCAUCCAUAGCUGGGUUGAGAGGAUGCUCAGCCACACUGAGACUGAGACACGGCCUAGACUCCUACGGGAGGCAGCAGUGGGGAAUAUUGGACAAUGGGCGAAAGCAUGAUCCAGCAAUGCCGCGUGAGUGAUGAAGGCCUUAGGGUUGUAAAGCUCUUUUAACCGGGAUGAUAAUAACAGUACCGGGAGAAUAAGCUCCGGCUAACUCCGUG